GAAAGUAAGAUUAAUACCCGGCGGUCUCGGACGGCCGCAUGACUGUCCGAGUGAAGAUUUAUCGGUAUGAGAUGGCGAUGCGUCCCAUUAGCUUGUUGGUGAGGUAACGGCUCACCAAGGCAUCGAUGGGUAGGGGUUCUGAGAGGAAGGUCCCCCACAUUGGAACUGAGACACGGUCCAAACUCCUACGGGAGGCAGCAGUGAGGAAUAUCGGUCAAUGGACGAAAGUCUGAACCAGCCAAGUAGCGUGCAGGACGACGGCCCUCUGGGUUGUAAACUGCUUUUAGUUGGGAAUAAAAAGAGGGACGUGUCCCUUAUUGUAUGUACCAUCAGAAAAAGGACCGGCUAAUUCCGUGCCAGCAGCCGCGGUAAUACGGAAGGUCCAGGCGUUAUCCGGAUUUAUUGGGUUUAAAGGGAGCGCAGGCGGCGGCGUAAGUCAGUUGUGAAAUCGUGCGGCUUAACCGUGCAAUUGCAGUUGAUACUGCGUCGCUUGAGUGCACACAGGGAUGUUGGAAUUCAUGGUGUAGCGGUGAAAUGCUUAGAUAUCAUGAAGAACUCCGAUCGCGAAGGCAUAUGUCCGGAGUGCAACUGACGCUGAGGCUCGAAAGUGUGGGUAUCAAACAGGAUUAGAUACCCUGGUAGUCCACACAGUAAACGAUGAAUACUCGCGGUUGGUUCGUUAGAAUCAGCCGC
RNAcentral lists this ribosomal RNA (693 nucleotides) under uncultured bacterium. Its description in RNAcentral is "bacterial SSU rRNA". It matches the Rfam family "Bacterial small subunit ribosomal RNA", at positions 153 to 847 of the family's 1533-position model. The record is from RNAcentral.